AUAUGAUGACCGCAUCAACCUGGGAGCCCGCAGGUCGGACAGGAAGUUAAAUACUGCAGGUUUGAUGACCUCUGACAGGAAGUUGGGUUAAAGACUGCAUCCCAACAUUGCAAACAAUGUUUGCAAUGCAAACACAGUGAGUUUGAUGGGCCUACUUACCGAUGUCAGAAGGAAAAUUUUAGAAGAAACUCACACAACACUCCUGCACCUGGUCAAACAAGAUAUUUAAUGUGGUGUAGGUGAAGGUACCUGGUAGUCUGUUUUGUGUGCGUGUUUGUGAGAGAGUGAUUUCAUGACAUCAUCCAAGCCAUUCCUGAAUUUUGUAAUACUCAAUAUUCUCCAGCUUUGUACGACGCUACGCAAGCGUUAUUGUUCAGUACUCCACUGAGUUCGAAGCUGUCCACUAGUAGGCACUGUUCAGUACUCCACUAUGUUCUUUGUCUCAAUGUUUAUUGCUGUCCACUAGUAGGCGCUGUUCAGUACGCCACCAUUUCUUUACGUCUAAAUGUUUAAAGGGCCCCUCUUCCCUGAUUGGUUAAAUAACAAAUGAAAAUGAAAUCCAUCGGUCAGUCCCACGUGUGAACAAUGUGAAGGGCAGGGAAAUGAGGUGGGGGCCACCACUACUACGAUUUAUUAAAUCUCGCUUUCUGCUCCCAUUUCCUCGAUUCUCCUUCACAAUUCUCAAAUCUUAACAAGAGCAGCAGAGAACAAACAACACACAUCAUGAAUCCACUCUCUAAUCCUUACUGGAGUUCAGAGGUAACACGAGGGAUGCCCCUGCAAGACAGACUGCGUGAAACCACGCGGUGAGAAGCAUCACAUCUGGGCUGUCGGUAGUCCGUCUUCACAACGUUGUAGUUUCACGACUUCUACUCCACAUCUUCCCUUGACCUCUUGACGUUUUCCAUCAAGUUCAAGGAAAAGUGGUAAGGAAAGGAGACAGGAAGUCACUUUUUGACUAUUGGAAUGGAGCCGUGGUUCCCUCGUGGAGAACUACCUCAGAGAGAGGCAGAGCAGACAGACGGACGGACAGACGGACGGACAGACACCUCCGGACACAUCGCCUCUCGGUGAUGGAGCGGAGACAGACGGCUCCAAGCCGUCUGUGUGGAAACCUUUUAAGACAUCAAAGGAGCUCCCUAAAGUGCCCAACCUGUGCAGGCAGGAUUGGUCCCCAGACUUCAAACGCUUUACUUUGUUUUACCUCUAUCCGUACCACAGGGCAUGCUGGGUAAUAUCAGAUCAAGCAAGCAAGGAGUCCUCUGCCUUGAAGCCGCAGAGCAAGGCACUUUGUUCACCUCGCUGAGGUGUGUGUGUGUGUGUGUGUGUGUGUGUGUGUGUGUGUGUGUGUGUGUGUGUGUGUGUGUGUGUGUGUGUGUGUGUGUGUGUGUGUGUGUGUGUGUGUGUGUGUGUGUGUGUGUGUGUGUGUGUGUGUGUGUGU
Molecule: long non-coding RNA, 1441 nt
Organism: Gadus macrocephalus (Pacific cod)
Lineage: Eukaryota; Metazoa; Chordata; Actinopteri; Gadiformes; Gadidae
Exons: 2
Source: RefSeq, a predicted model, not a curated record